GGAGCUGUAUCGAAGCGGUCAUAACGAGGCGGUCUUGAAAACCGUUUGCCUUCACGGGCACCAGGGUUCGAAUCCCUGCGGCUCCGCCA
Molecule: transfer RNA, 89 nt
Filed under: Butyrivibrio sp.
Lineage: Bacteria; Bacillati; Bacillota; Clostridia; Lachnospirales; Lachnospiraceae
Also listed under: 3 other names
Description: tRNA-Ser
Rfam family: tRNA
About the family: Transfer RNA (tRNA) molecules are approximately 80 nucleotides in length.
Source: RNAcentral